This 4878-nucleotide ribosomal RNA is filed under the name Triticum aestivum (bread wheat). RNAcentral describes it as "partial small subunit ribosomal RNA". Lineage: Eukaryota; Viridiplantae; Streptophyta; Magnoliopsida; Poales; Poaceae. The record is from RNAcentral.
AUGGACGGGGGCCACGGGCAGAGGCAGCCGCUGUCGCCGGCGAUCUCGGCCUCGGCGGUGCUGCCGCACCAGCGGCAGAUGCAGCUCCUCCAGCACCCGGCGCGCCCGGCAAUCGCCGAUCUCUUCACCCUGUACCUCGGCGUGAACUCGAAGCAGCGAGCCGAGGACCCGACGAGGGAGACCUCGAACAAGCUGCAGAAGAGAGUAUCUGCUCAUAACAGAGAUCUGCCUCCCCGCGACGAGCAGUUCAUUUCAGAUUUUGAGCAGUUGUGCAUGCCGUUUCCGGAGCAGGAGCAGUUACAGGCUGUCACAGAAUCAGUUCUCAUCUCAUUUGUUCUGCAAUGCAGUAGCCAUGCUCCACAAUCUCAGUUCCUGCUCUUUGCUACGCGGUGCCUCUGCGCUCGUGGCCACCUCAGAUGGGACAGUCUCAUUCCAUCUCUACUUACUGUAGUUUCCUCCGCCGAGGCACCAAUGGGCCAAGGGGGUUCUGUGACUGUUGGUGGCCCUGUGUCUUCUUCAUCAGCUAUUGCAGUGCCAAAUGCUCCAAGCUUUCACGCUUCAAAUCCUACGUCUCCCUUGUCAGCAAUGAACACUAUAGGAUCUCCUACUCAAUCUGGUAUUGAUCAACCUGUAGGGGCAAAUGUGUCACCCAUGAAGGCGGCUGAGUUCUCUACUCUUGGGCAGCCUGGUACAACAUCAAGAGGUGACCAGUCCCGCGGAGGAGCACAAGUUAGCUACCUGCAUCAUUUAUCCUGUAGGAUUAUUUUAGCUGGUCUGGAGUCCAAUUUGAAGCCAGCUACUCAUGCUGUGAUAUUCCAUCAUAUGGUAAAUUGGCUAGUCAAUUGGGACCAGAGACCCCAUGGCGUGGAUGAAGCUGAUACAGUGCAAACUUCUAGGAUCGGAAGGCCCGUGCAUGAAUGGAUGCAUCUAUGCUUAGACGUGAUUUGGAUUUUAGUUGAUGAAGAGAAAUGUCGCAUUCCAUUCUAUGAGCUUGUUCGCAGCAACUUGCAGUUUCUGGAGAACAUUCCUGAUGAUGAUGCAGUGAUUUGCAUCAUUAUGGAGAUCCAUAGGAGGAGGGACAUGGUGUGCAUGCACAUGCAAAUGUUGGAUCAACACCUUCACUGCCCAACAUUUGGAACUCAUCGGUUCUUGUCACAAUCCUAUCCAAGCAUAGCUGGUGAAUCUGUUGCUAAUUUGCGUUAUUCUCCUAUUACUUAUCCCAGUGUUCUGGGUGAGCCACUGCAUGGAGAGGAUCUUGCAAACUCUAUUCCAAAGGGGGGUUUCGACUGGGAACGUGCUCUGCGUUGCUUGAGGCAUGCUCUCCGCACAACUCCAUCACCAGAUUGGUGGAGACGCGUUCUUCUUGUUGCUCCUUGUUACAGAUCACAUUCUCAAACAUCAACACCAGGAGCUGUUUUCUCACCAGAUAUGAUUGGUGAGGCAGUUGCUGACAGGACAAUUGAACUACUGAAGUUAACUAACUCAGAAACUCAGUGUUGGCAAGAUUGGCUUUUGUUUGCAGAUAUCUUUUUCUUCCUAAUGAAAAGUGGCUGUAUUGAUUUUCUCGAUUUUGUGGACAAGCUUGCAUCUCGAGUAACAAAUGGUGAUCAACAGAUUCUACGCAGUAAUCAUGUCACAUGGUUGCUUGCACAGAUUAUCCGUAUUGAGAUUGUGAUGAACACACUUAGUUCGGACCCAAGGAAGGUUGAAACGACACGCAAGAUAAUUUCAUUCCACAAAGAAGACAAAAGCCUUGAUCCUAAUAACAUCAGCCCUCAAAGUAUUCUUCUUGAUUUCAUAAGUAGCAGCCAGACUUUGCGCAUUUGGUCUUUCAACACUUCAAUUAGAGAGCAUUUGAACAGCGAUCAGCUUCAAAAAGGCAAACAGAUAGAUGAGUGGUGGAAACAGAUGACAAAAGCUUCGGGAGAGAGAAUGAUAGAUUUUAUGAACUUGGAUGAGCGAGCAAUGGGCAUGUUUUGGGUUCUCUCGUUCACCAUGGCACAACCAGCAUGUGAUGCAGUCAUGACCUGGUUUACAUCAGCUGGAGGGGCAGAAUUCAUGCAGGGACCCAAUAUGCAACCAAAUGAAAGAGUGACGAUGAUGCAUGAAACUUACCCUUUGUCAAUGGCGUUGCUUUCUGGGUUGUCUAUCAACUUGUGUUUGAAGCUUGCUUACCAGCUUGAAGAGACUAUAUUUCUUGGCCAGGCUGUUCCUAGCAUUGCUAUGGUGGAAACCUACGUUAGGUUGCUGCUUAUAACACCACAUUCAUUGUUCCGCCCACAUUUUACGACACUAACCCAAAGAUCGCCAUCUAUUCUGAGCAAAUCUGGUGUGUCUUUGCUCCUACUUGAGAUACUGAAUUACAGACUACUUCCUCUGUACAGGUAUCACGGAAAAAGCAAGGCAUUGAUGUAUGAUGUCACAAAGAUAAUAUCAAUGAUUAAGGGAAAACGUGGAGAGCAUCGCCUUUUUAGAUUAGCUGAAAAUUUGUGCAUGAACUUAAUUCUCUCACUGAGAGACUUCUUUUUGGUGAAAAAAGAGUUGAAGGGACCAACUGAGUUUACUGAAACGCUUAACCGCAUAACCAUAAUAAGCCUUGCGAUCACCAUCAAGACACGUGGAAUCGCCGAGGUUGAACACAUGGUUUAUCUUCAACCACUAUUGGAGCAAAUUAUGGCAACCAGUCAGCAUACAUGGUCAGAAAAGACUCUACGUUAUUUUCCUCCCCUUAUUCGUGACUUUUUAACGGUUAGGGCGGAUAAGAGGGGACAAGCUAUCCAAGCAUGGCAGCAGGCAGAAACUACUGUUAUCAAUCAAUGCAACCAGCUACUGUCACCAUCCGCUGAGCCGAACUAUGUCAUGACUUAUUUGAGCCAUAGUUUCCCUCAGCAUCGUCGCUAUCUAUGCGCUGGUGCUUGGAUGCUAAUGAAUGGGCAUCCUGAGAUCAACAGCGCAAAUCUUGCUCGUGUCUUGAGAGAGUUUUCACCUGAAGAAGUUACUGCAAAUAUUUAUACAAUGGUUGAUGUUCUUCUGCAUCAUAUCCAGCUUGAGCUUCAACGGGGGCAUCUAGUGCAGGAUUUACUUUCCAAAGCAAUCACGAAUCUUGCAUUCUUUGUCUGGACACAUGAGUUAGUUCCACUGGACAUUGUGCUACUAGCUCUUAUUGACAGGGAUGAUGAUCCUUAUGCUUUACGUCUUGUGCUUGGACUUGCUUUGAUGAUAAAUUUAACAUUACAGAUAAGUCUGCUUGAAAGAUCUGAACUUCAGCACAGAAUUAAAGCAUUCUGCAGUUCUCGUUCUCCUGAGCAUUGGCUAAAAAAUCAACCUCCAAAAAGAGCUGAGCUCCAGAAAGCUCUUGGUAACCAUCUUUCAUGGAAGGACCGCUAUCCUCCCUUUUUCGAUGACAUUGCUGCCCGCUUGCUUCCAGUCAUCCCACUGAUAAUUUAUAGGCUUAUUGAGAAUGAUGCUACAGAUAUCGCAGACAGGGUUCUCGCAUUUUAUUCUACCUUUCUCGCUUUCCACCCACUGAGAUUUACAUUUGUGCGGGAUAUUCUUGCAUACUUCUAUGGUCAUCUUCCAAGCAAGUUAAUUGUCCGGAUCCUCAACGUGCUGGGUGUUAGCACCAAGACUCCUUUCUCAGAAUCCUUUGCUCAAUAUUUAGGGUCUUCAAAUUCUUCUAUUUGCCCACCACCAGAAUAUUUUGCCAACCUUUUGCUAGGCCUUGUUAAUAAUGUCAUACCUCCUUUGAGUAGCAAGUCCAAAUCAAACCCAGCAGAUGCUUCUGGCGGACGCACAAAUUUCAGCAAGCCUCAUGCAUCUACGCAAGCUGGUGGAAAUAGUAACGCUGAUGCUCAGAGGGCAUUUUAUCAAAAUCAGGAUCCUGGGUCAUACACACAGCUUGUCUUGGAAACAGCAGCUAUUGAGAUUCUCUCACUUCCUGUGCCAGCUUCUCAAAUAGUGUCCUCUCUAGUUCAAUUAAUAGCUCAUGUACAAGCAAUGCUUAUACAGUCAAAUACUGGUCAAGGAAUGUCUGGUGGUUUGGGCCAAAACUCUGGGCUGCCAACUUCUCCUUCAGGUGCGGGUGCUGAGUCGGCAGGUGCCAGCCGAGGAAACACUUCAGCAAGUGGAAUCAGCGCGAACUUUGUUUCUAGAAGUGGCUACUCUUGUCAGCAGUUGUCUGUUUUGAUGAUUCAAGCAUGUGGCUUCUUGCUGGCACAACUCCCACCAGAAUUUCACAUGCAACUUUACUCAGAAGCAGCUCGAAUCAUAAAAGAUUGUCGUUGGCUUUCUGACAGUUCGAGACCUGUGAAAGAGCUUAACUCAGCUGUUGGUUACGCACUUCUGGACCCAACAUGGGCUUCUCAAGACAGUACAUCGACAGCCAUCGGUAACAUUGUGGCCCUUCUACACUCAUUUUUUAGCAAUCUUCCUCAAGAGUGGCUGGAAUCUUCACAUACUGUCAUCAAACAUCUCCGGCCAGUGACUUCAGUUGCCAUGUUGAGAAUUGCCUUCCGCAUAUUGGGCCCCUUAUUGCCUCGUCUAGCCUUUGCUCGACCUCUAUUCAUGAAGACACUGGCUUUGCUGUUCAAUGUGUUGGGGGAUGUGUUUGGGAAGAACUCUCAGGCCUCACCUCAUGUGCCGGCAUCAGAAAUUGGAGACAUCAUUGACUUUGUGCAUCAUGCCGUCAUGUAUGAAGGUCAAGGCGGCCCGGUUCAGAGUACCAGCAAACCUAAAGUGGAGAUACUGACAUUGUGCGGGAAAGUGGUGGAUAUGCUUCGGCCUGACGUGCAGCAUCUCCUGUCCCACCUCAAGACCGAUCCAACCUCGUCGAUUUACGCGGCGACCCAUCCAAAGCUAGCGCAACAACACCCAUCCUAA